UUGUGCUCUGGAUGCAUGGGAUCCAAACCCAGCUUCGUCUACGAGGACAUCUUUAAAUAUCACACAAUUGUUGAAGACUGAUGUGCUCUUGAAGUCAAGUGUGCAUUACUGGAUCUCAGUUGCUAUUUCAAUAUUUCAGGACGCCACCUUAUUUAGUGUAAAAAGUUUGGCCGACAUUUCAGUACCAAAUGACACUUCACUGUCCAGUAAAUAAACAGGGCGUCAAAAACGUAGGGCGUCGAAGGUUCCACUGUACUGUUUGACAUUUGUAGACAUGUGUUUGACAUGAAUCUCUGUUAAACAAACAUAGUUAGCUCUAGAAAGAUUUAUUUUAUUAUCACAGAAAAGUACAAGUGCAGUGCUUGUUCUGAGAUGCUAUGGCAGUACUCCAUGACACGCACUCUACAUAUUGUUAAAAAUAUAUGAAUGACAUUUUAAUGUGUAGUACAGAAACAGGUGGGCAAAAAUUUAGGCCAUAGAAAGUUGCAGUGUACUGUUUCUAAAGGUUAGACAUGUGUUUGCCAUUCAGCCCUCUUAAAUGGACAUAGUUAGCGCUAGAACGCUUAGAUUUGUUCUUAUAGCGAGGAACACGCACCUCUGCUCCCUCGUGUGGACGAGGUGGCCGAGUGGUUAAGGCGAUGGACUGCUAAUCCAUUGUGCUCUGCACGCGUGGGUUCGAAUCCCACCUUCGUCGGAAAGAGCUUCUUUAGUCAUCAAACUAACAAUGAACGUUGACCUCCGGUCAAAAGUGCAAUGUUUGCUCUGAGGUGCUCUUUCCAUUCUGCCUGACACUGAUUUGAAAGAAAGAAUUUCUCUACGGCAAACGACAACCAAGACUUCCUCCGAUUUGGCCGAAAGGUCAGGGAGGUGGACUGCGAAUCUGCUUUGCUCUGGAUGCGUGAGAUCCAAUCCUAACUUCAACAACAAAGGCUGUCUUCAAACAUGACACAACUGUUGUACACUGAUGUGCACUUGAGGUCAGACGCGCAAUACCCUUUCUAACAUGCUAUUUCAGUACUUCAUGACGCCCACAGUUCAAUACCAGCUGACGUUUCACCGUCCAGUAAGGAAACAGGUGGGCAAAAGUUUAGGCCAUAGAAAAUUCCUAUGUACUGUUUAUCAUUGUUAGGCAUGCUUUUCACAUGAAUCCCCUCUAAACGGACCUAGCGAGUCACAGAACGAUUUGUCAUAUUGUUCUAGAGAGGAAAAUAAGCCACACGAUCCCUGUCAUGUCGACGAGGUGGCCGAGAGGUUAAGGCGAUGGACUGCUAAUCCAUUGUGCUCUGCACGCGUGGGUUCGAAUCCCUCCUUCGUCGAACAGGCUUUCUUUAGUCAUCAAAUUAAAUGUUGAUCUCAGGUCGAUAUUGCAAUGCUUUCUCUGAGAUGGUAUCACAAUUCUCCAUCACAACUACUUAAAAGAAAAAACUUUCUCUAUGGCAAACGACCCCUAACAACUUUUACGAGUUGGCCAAAAGUUUUAGCAGAAGAUCCCUUCUUCGUUGAAAAGGCUGUCUUUAGUCAUCAAAGUAAAGUUGAACCAUGGUCUGCUCCUGAGGUCAAAGGUGUUAUUCUUGUGCUGAGAUGAUAUUGCAAUUCUCCAUGAAACCUAUCCAAAAGAAGAAAUUUCUAUAUGGCAAACGACACACUAUGCCUUUUCCCAAUUGACUGAACGGUUAGAGGGAUGGACUGUUAACCUGUUGAGCUCCGCACACAUGGGAUUGAAUCCCAUCAUUGUCAAAAAGGCUAUAUUUAGUCACCAAACUAAUGUUGUACCUUGAUCUGCUCCCGAGGUCAAAGGUUCAAUUUCUGUUCUGAGAUGAUAGUUCAAUUCUCCAUGAAACCUACGUAAAAGAAAAAAAUUCAACACGGCAAAAAACUCCUAAUUCUUUUUCCGAGCUGGACGAAAGUUUAGGGAGGUGGACUUCUAAUCCGUUGUGCUCUGGAUGCAUGGGAUCCAAACCCAGCUUCGUCUACGAGGACAUCUUUAAAUAUCACACAAUUGUUGAAGACUGAUGUGCUCUUGAAGUCAAGUGUGCAUUACUGGAUCUCAGUUGCUAUUUCAAUAUUUCAGGACGCCACCUUAUUUAGUGUAAAAAGUUUGGCCGACAUUUCAGUACCAAAUGACACUUCACUGUCCAGUAAAUAAACAGGGCGUCAACAACGUAGGGCGUCGAAGGUUCCAAUGUACUGUUUGACAUUUGUAGACAUGUGUUUGACAUGAAUCUCUGUUAAACAAACAUAGUUAGCUCUAGAAAGAUUUAUUUUAUUAUCACAGAAAAGUACAAGUGCAGUGCUUGUUCUGAGAUGCUAUGGCAGUACUCCAUGACACGCACUCUACAUAUUGUUAAAAAUAUAUGAAUGACAUUUUAAUGUGUAGUACAGAAACAGGUGGGCAAAAAUUUAGGCCAUAGAAAGUUGCAGUGUACUGUUUCUAAAGGUUAGACAUGUGUUUGCCAUUCAGCCCUCUUAAAUGGACAUAGUUAGCGCUAGAACGCUUAGAUUUGUUCUUAUAGCGAGGAACACGCACCUCUGCUCCCUCGUGUGGACGAGGUGGCCGAGUGGUUAAGGCGAUGGACUGCUAAUCCAUUGUGCUCUGCACGCGUGGGUUCGAAUCCCACCUUCGUCGGAAAGAGCUUCUUUAGUCAUCAAACUAACAGUGAACGUUGACCUCCGGUCAAAAGUGCAAUGUUUGCUCUGAGGUGCUCUUUCCAUUCUACCUGACACUGAUUUGAAAGAAAGAAUUUCUCUACGGCAAACGACAACCAAGACUUCCUCCGAUUUGGCCGAAAGGUCAGGGAGGUGGACUGCGAAUCUGCUUUGCUCUGGAUGCGUGAGAUCCAAUCCUAACUUCAACAACAAAGGCUGUCUUCAAACAUGACACAACUGUUGUACACUGAUGUGCACUUGAGGUCAGACCCGCAAUACCCUUUCUAACAUGCUAUUUCAGUACUUCAUGACGCCCACAGUUCAAUACCAGCUGACGUUUCACCGUCCAGUAAGGAAACAGGUGGGCAAAAGUUUAGGCCAUAGAAAAUUCCUAUGUACUGUUUAUCAUUGUUAGGCAUGCUUUUCACAUGAAUCCCCUCUAAACGGACCUAGCGAGUCACAGAACGAUUUGUCAUAUUGUUCUAGAGAGGAAAAUAAGCCACACGAUCCCUGUCAUGUCGACGAGGUGGCCGAGAGGUUAAGGCGAUGGACUGCUAAUCCAUUGUGCUCUGCACGCGUGGGUUCGAAUCCCACCUUCGUCGGAAAGAGCUUCUUUAGUCAUCAAACUAACAGUGAACGUUGACCUCCGGUCAAAAGUGCAAUGUUUGCUCUGAGGUGCUCUUUCCAUUCUACCUGACACUGAUUUGAAAGAAAGAAUUUCUCUACGGCAAACGACAACCAAGACUUCCUCCGAUUUGGCCGAAAGGUCAGGGAGGUGGACUGCGAAUCUGCUUUGCUCUGGAUGCGUGAGAUCCAAUCCUAACUUCAACAACAAAGGCUGUCUUCAAACAUGACACAACUGUUGUACACUGAUGUGCACUUGAGGUCAGACCCGCAAUACCCUUUCUAACAUGCUAUUUCAGUACUUCAUGACGCCCACAGUUCAAUACCAGCUGACGUUUCACCGUCCAGUAAGGAAACAGGUGGGCAAAAGUUUAGGCCAUAGAAAAUUCCUAUGUACUGUUUAUCAUUGUUAGGCAUGCUUUUCACAUGAAUCCCCUCUAAACGGACCUAGCGAGUCACAGAACGAUUUGUCAUAUUGUUAUAGAGAGGAAAAUAAGCCACACGAUCCCUUUCAUGUCGACGAGGUGGCCGAGAGGUUAAGGCGAUGGACUGCUAAUCCAUUGUGCUCUGCACGCGUGGGUUCGAAUCCCACCUUCGUCGAACAGGCUUUCUUUAGUCAUCAAAUUAAAUGUUGAUCUCAGGUCGAUAUUGCAAUGCUUUCUCUGAGAUGGUAUCACAAUUCUCCAUCACACCUACUUAAAAGAAAAAACUUUCUCUAUGGCAAACGACCCCUAACAACUUUUACGAGUUGGCCAAAAGUUUUAGCAGAAGAUCCCUUCUUCGUUGAAAAGGCUGUCUUUAGUCAUCAAAGUAAAGUUGAACCAUGGUCUGCUCCUGAGGUCAAAGGUGUUAUUCUUGUGCUGAGAUGAUAUUGCAAUUCUCCAUGAAACCUAUCCAAAAGAAGAAAUUUCUAUAUGGCAAACGACACACUAUGCCUUUUCCCAAUUGACUGAACGGUUAGAGGGAUGGACUGUUAACCUGUUGAGCUCCGCACACAUGGGAUUGAAUCCCAUCAUUGUCAAAAAGGCUAUAUUUAGUCACCAAACUAAUGUUGUACCUUGAUCUGCUGCCGAGGUCAAAGGUUCAAUUUCUGUUCUGAGAUGAUAGUUCAAUUCUCCAUGAAACCUACAUAAAAGAAAAAAAUUCAACACGGCAAAAAACUCCUAAUUCUUUUUCCGAGCUGGACGAAAGGUUAGGGAGGUGGACUUCUAAUCCGUUGUGCUCUGGAUGCAUGGGAUCCAAACCCAGCUUCGUCUACGAGGACAUCUUUAAAUAUCACACAAUUGUUGAAGACUGAUGUGCUCUUGAAGUCAAGUGUGCAUUACUGGAUCUCAGUUGCUAUUUCAAUAUUUCAGGACGCCACCUUAUUUAGUGUAAAAAGUUUGGCCGACAUUUCAGUACCAAAUGACACUUCACUGUCCAGUAAAUAAACAGGGCGUCAAAAACGUAGGGCGUCGAAGGUUCCAAUGUACUGUUUGACAUUUGUAGACAUGUGUUUGACAUGAAUCUCUGUUAAACAAACAUAGUUAGCUCUAGAAAGAUUUAUUUUAUUAUCACAGAAAAGUACAAGUGCAGUGCUUGUUCUGAGAUGCUAUGGCAGUACUCCAUGACACGCACUCUACAUAUUGUUAAAAAUAUAUGAAUGACAUUUUAAUGUGUAGUACAGAAACAGGUGGGCAAAAAUUUAGGCCAUAGAAAGUUGCAGUGUACUGUUUCUAAAGGUUAGACAUGUGUUUGCCAUUCAGCCCUCUUAAAUGGACAUAGUUAGCGCUAGAACGCUUAGAUUUGUUCUUAUAGCGAGGAACACGCACCUCUGCUCCCUCGUGUGGACGAGGUGGCCGAGUGGUUAAGGCGAUGGACUGCUAAUCCAUUGUGCUCUGCACGCGUGGGUUCGAAUCCCACCUUCGUCGGAAAGAGCUUCUUUAGUCAUCAAACUAACAGUGAACGUUGACCUCCGGUCAAAAGUGCAAUGUUUGCUCUGAGGUGCUCUUUCCAUUCUACCUGACACUGAUUUGAAAGAAAGAAUUUCUCUACGGCAAACGACAACCAAGACUUCCUCCGAUUUGGCCGAAAGGUCAGGGAGGUGGACUGCGAAUCUGCUUUGCUCUGGAUGCGUGAGAUCCAAUCCUAACUUCAACAACAAAGGCUGUCUUCAAACAUGACACAACUGUUGUACACUGAUGUGCACUUGAGGUCAGACGCGCAAUACCCUUUCUAACAUGCUAUUUCAGUACUUCAUGACGCCCACAGUUCAAUACCAGCUGACGUUUCACCGUCCAGUAAGGAAACAGGUGGGCAAAAGUUUAGGCCAUAGAAAAUUCCUAUGUACUGUUUAUCAUUGUUAGGCAUGCUUUUCACAUGAAUCCCCUCUAAACGGACCUAGCGAGUCACAGAACGAUUUGUCAUAUUGUUAUAGAGAGGAAAAUAAGCCACACGAUCCCUUUCAUGUCGACGAGGUGGCCGAGAGGUUAAGGCGAUGGACUGCUAAUCCAUUGUGCUCUGCACGCGUGGGUUCGAAUCCCACCUUCGUCGAACAGGCUUUCUUUAGUCAUCAAAUUAAAUGUUGAUCUCAGGUCGAUAUUGCAAUGCUUUCUCUGAGAUGGUAUCACAAUUCUCCAUCACAACUACUUAAAAGAAAAAACUUUCUCUAUGGCAAACGACCCCUAACAACUUUUACGAGUUGGCCAAAAGUUUUAGCAGAAGAUCCCUUCUUCGUUGAAAAGGCUGUCUUUAGUCAUCAAAGUAAAGUUGAACCAUGGUCUGCUCCUGAGGUCAAAGGUGUUAUUCUUGUGCUGAGAUGAUAUUGCAAUUCUCCAUGAAACCUAUCCAAAAGAAGAAAUUUCUAUAUGGCAAACGACACACUAUGCCUUUUCCCAAUUGACUGAACGGUUAGAGGGAUGGACUGUUAACCUGUUGAGCUCCGCACACAUGGGAUUGAAUCCCAUCAUUGUCAAAAAGGCUAUAUUUAGUCACCAAACUAAUGUUGUACCUUGAUCUGCUCCCGAGGUCAAAGGUUCAAUUUCUGUUCUGAGAUGAUAGUUCAAUUCUCCAUGAAACCUACGUAAAAGAAAAAAAUUCAACACGGCAAAAAACUCCUAAUUCUUUUUCCGAGCUGGACGAAAGUUUAGGGAGGUGGACUUCUAAUCCGUUGUGCUCUGGAUGCAUGGGAUCCAAACCCAGCUUCGUCUACGAGGACAUCUUUAAAUAUCACACAAUUGUUGAAGACUGAUGUGCUCUUGAAGUCAAGUGUGCAUUACUGGAUCUCAGUUGCUAUUUCAAUAUUUCAGGACGCCACCUUAUUUAGUGUAAAAAGUUUGGCCGACAUUUCAGUACCAAAUGACACUUCACUGUCCAGUAAAUAAACAGGGCGUCAAAAACGUAGGGCGUCGAAGGUUCCAAUGUACUGUUUGACAUUUGUAGACAUGUGUUUGACAUGAAUCUCUGUUAAACAAACAUAGUUAGCUCUAGAAAGAUUUAUUUUAUUAUCACAGAAAAGUACAAGUGCAGUGCUUGUUCUGAGAUGCUAUGGCAGUACUCCAUGACACGCACUCUACAUAUUGUUAAAAAUAUAUGAAUGACAUUUUAAUGUGUAGUACAGAAACAGGUGGGCAAAAAUUUAGGCCAUAGAAAGUUGCAGUGUACUGUUUCUAAAGGUUAGACAUGUGUUUGCCAUUCAGCCCUCUUAAAUGGACAUAGUUAGCGCUAGAACGCUUAGAUUUGUUCUUAUAGCGAGGAACACGCACCUCUGCUCCCUCGUGUGGACGAGGUGGCCGAGUGGUUAAGGCGAUGGACUGCUAAUCCAUUGUGCUCUGCACGCGUGGGUUCGAAUCCCACCUUCGUCGGAAAGAGCUUCUUUAGUCAUCAAACUAACAGUGAACGUUGACCUCCGGUCAAAAGUGCAAUGUUUGCUCUGAGGUGCUCUUUCCAUUCUACCUGACACUGAUUUGAAAGAAAGAAUUUCUCUACGGCAAACGACAACCAAGACUUCCUCCGAUUUGGCCGAAAGGUCAGGGAGGUGGACUGCGAAUCUGCUUUGCUCUGGAUGCGUGAGAUCCAAUCCUAACUUCAACAACAAAGGCUGUCUUCAAACAUGACACAACUGUUGUACACUGAUGUGCACUUGAGGUCAGACGCGCAAUACCCUUUCUAACAUGCUAUUUCAGUACUUCAUGACGCCCACAGUUCAAUACCAGCUGACGUUUCACCGUCCAGUAAGGAAACAGGUGGGCAAAAGUUUAGGCCAUAGAAAAUUCCUAUGUACUGUUUAUCAUUGUUAGGCAUGCUUUUCACAUGAAUCCCCUCUAAACGGACCAAGUGAGUCAUAGAACGAUUUGUCAUAUUGUUAUAGAGAGGAAAAUAAGCCACACAAUCCCUUUCAUGUCGACGAGGUGGCCGAGUGGUUAAGGCGAUGGACUGCUAAUCCAUUGUGCUCUGCACGCGUGGGUUCGAAUCCCACCUUCGUCGGAAAGAGCUUCUUUAGUCUUCAAACUAACAGUGAACUUUGACCUCCGGUCAAAAGUGCAAUGUUUGCUCUGAGGUGCUCUUUCCAUUCUACCUGACACUGAUUUGAAAGAAAGAAUUUCUCUACGGCAAACGACAACCAAGACUUCCUCCGAUUUGGCCGAAAGGUCAGGGAGGUGGACUGCGAAUCUGCUUUGCUCUGGAUGCGUGAGAUCCAAUCCUAACUUCAACAACAAAGGCUGUCUUCAAACAUGACACAACUGUUGUACACUGAUGUGCACUUGAGGUCAGACGCGCAAUACCCUUUCUAACAUGCUAUUUCAGUACUUCAUGACGCCCACAGUUCAAUACCAGCUGACGUUUCACCGUCCAGUAAGGAAACAGGUGGGCAAAAGUUUAGGCCAUAGAAAAUUCCUAUGUACUGUUUAUCAUUGUUAGGCAUGCUUUUCACAUGAAUCCCCUCUAAACGGACCAAGUGAGUCAUAGAACGAUUUGUCAUAUUGUUAUAGAGAGGAAAAUAAGCCACACGAUCCCUUUCAUGUCGACGAGGUGGCCGAGUGGUUAAGGCGAUGGACUGCUAAUCCAUUGUGCUCUGCACGCGUGGGUUCGAAUCCCACCUUCGUCGGAAAGAGCUUCUUUAGUCAUCAAACUAACAGUGAACGUUGACCUCCGGUCAAAAGUGCAAUGUUUGCUCUGAGGUGCUCUUUCCAUUCUACCUGACACUGAUUUGAAAGAAAGAAUUUCUCUACGGCAAACGACAACCAAGACUUCCUCCGAUUUGGCCGAAAGGUCAGGGAGGUGGACUGCGAAUCUGCUUUGCUCUGGAUGCGUGAGAUCCAAUCCUAACUUCAACAACAAAGGCUGUCUUCAAACAUGACACAACUGUUGUACACUGAUGUGCACUUGAGGUCAGACGCGCAAUACCCUUUCUAACAUGCUAUUUCAGUACUUCAUGACGCCCACAGUUCAAUACCAGCUGACGUUUCACCGUCCAGUAAGGAAACAGGUGGGCAAAAGUUUAGGCCAUAGAAAAUUCCUAUGUACUGUUUAUCAUUGUUAGGCAUGCUUUUCACAUGAAUCCCCUCUAAACGGACCAAGUGAGUCAUAGAACGAUUUGUCAUAUUGUUAUAGAGAGGAAAAUAAG
This is a long non-coding RNA of Colossoma macropomum (tambaqui), 8875 nucleotides long. RefSeq lists it as uncharacterized. Lineage: Eukaryota; Metazoa; Chordata; Actinopteri; Characiformes; Serrasalmidae. The transcript has 3 exons. The record is from RefSeq and is a predicted model, not a curated record.